GGAGCACAAAGCACAGCUGCGCGCAACUCGGGCGUGGCGCCGGUGGCGGAUUGGCGUCGCGGAACCGCCUCGGCGAUGACGCCCCCGAAGCCCCAGCCACCGGCUGCUGAGAGAUGGUGCUGCCAGGUCGCGGGGCGGCGCCACUUCCUCAUCGAGCGAUUGCUUCCACCGAGAUGAGGUCGCGGUGACCGGCCGGAGAUUUGGAUGUCAGAAAAAGUGCACAUAGUGUGAAUCUGGCAAGUGGCACACUGCAAAUAGUAGAUGAUUUUUUUUUGCCUGUGGGGGAUGUCCAACAACCCUGGUUUCAGACUUUCAGGGACUGUCUUAUACAUGAAAUUUUACUAUAAGCAUGGAUCAUUCAUGACUCAAUCUUAACACUUGCAAAACAAUCUAGUACUGAUACAAUUUGCAAAAUGCAUCCGGAUCAUUCAUGGAUCAUUGAUUUUGUAGUAAGAGGAUCUGAAGGCGCUUAUUUAUCAUAAUGUGGACAGUGGGAUCUAGAACUUUCAGCGCCUCCUAGCAGCUGUUUCUCUCUGAGCAUUGAAGUAGACAGCAGCUACAGGGAGGCCAAGGUCAUUUUCCUCAGCAAACUGCUUGGUGUUGAAAUGAUCCCUGAAGGAUGGCACAGUUACAGUUUGCCUGCGCUUCUGCUUGAAGAGCACAAAAAUGAACCUGUGGAUACCAAUGCUAGGUCUUGGGCUCUCGUAGCUUAUGACCUCUCGCCCUGCAAUUUGGAAGAUGCAUGGUUAUUAAUUCAAAGAACAACUGGAACAUGGCAUAGAUUAAGCAUGAAUCAGUGAAAGAGCCUACCAAACGAGGCAUCUGUUGUCCCAGGUAUAUCGGUCACGAUCCUGCAAAUGUAAAGGAUAACAUUUAGCCACACCACAAAGUGUUCAGAAAAUGUGCUGUUUUGUGUAUAUGGAAGAUGUGAUGCUAUCUUCCUUAGCAACAUAUGUUAUUUGAUGUCCAUGAGGUAAGAAAUGCUGAAUAUUACCAGUGAA
This is a long non-coding RNA of Setaria italica (foxtail millet), 1001 nucleotides long. RefSeq lists it as uncharacterized. The transcript is spliced from 2 exons. Lineage: Eukaryota; Viridiplantae; Streptophyta; Magnoliopsida; Poales; Poaceae. The record is from RefSeq and is a predicted model, not a curated record.